RNAcentral lists this ribosomal RNA (146 nucleotides) under uncultured bacterium. RNAcentral's name for it is "partial 16S ribosomal RNA". It matches the Rfam family "Bacterial small subunit ribosomal RNA", at positions 383 to 525 of the family's 1533-position model. The record is from RNAcentral.
CUGAACCAGCCAAGUAGCGUGCAGGAUGACGGCCCUAUGGGUUGUAAACUGCUUUUAUACAGGAAUAAAGUUAGCCACGUGUGGUUAUUUGCAGGUACUGUAUGAAUAAGGACCGGCUAAUUCCGUGCCAGCGAGCCGCGGUAAUU